GUGGGGAAUAUUGGACAAUGGGCGCAAGCCUGAUCCAGCCAUGCCGCGUGUGUGAAGAAGGCCUUCGGGUUGUAAAUCACUUUUGUUGGGGAAGAAAACCUGUUGGUUAAUACCCGGCGGGAAUGACGGUACCCAAAGAAUAAGCACCGGCUAACUUCGUGCCAGCAGCCGCGGUAAUACGAAGGGUGCAAGCGUUACUCGGAAUUACUGGGCGUAAAGCGUGCGUAGGUGGUUCGUUAAGUCUGCCGUGAAAGCCCCGGGCUCAACCUGGGAAUGGCGGUGGAUACUGGCGGACUAGAGUGCGGUAGAGGGUGGUGGAAUUCCCGGUGUAGCAGUGAAAUGCGUAGAGAUCGGGAGGAACAUCUGCGGCGAAGGCGGCCACCUGGACCAGCACUGACACUGAGGCACGAAAGCGUGGGGAGCAA
RNAcentral lists this ribosomal RNA (425 nucleotides) under uncultured Arenimonas sp. RNAcentral describes it as "bacterial SSU rRNA". It matches the Rfam family "Bacterial small subunit ribosomal RNA", at positions 354 to 771 of the family's 1533-position model. Lineage: Bacteria; Pseudomonadati; Pseudomonadota; Gammaproteobacteria; Lysobacterales; Lysobacteraceae. The record is from RNAcentral.